This 608-nucleotide long non-coding RNA is filed under the name Rattus norvegicus (Norway rat). Its description in RNAcentral is "long non-coding RNA NONRATT030869". The record is from RNAcentral. Lineage: Eukaryota; Metazoa; Chordata; Mammalia; Rodentia; Muridae.
CUCACCAAGCAGGGCUGGAGCAGCGCGUACUCCAUAGAAUCGGUUAUUAUGCAGAUCAACGCCACCCUAGUCAAAGGCAAGGCCAGGGUGCGCUUUGGAGCAGAUAAGAAUCAAUAUAAUCUAGAAACAGCCCAACAGUCCUAUGACUCUGUCGUGCAGAUGCAUGAGAAAAAAGGCUGGUUCACUCCUCCAAAGGAAGAUGGGUAAAUAGACUGCCAUGUGUUUGGAAAAAUGUAGCUUUAAAGACACAAGCUUUGCAUAUCUUUGUAACAGUAGUGCGGAAGAUAUUAGCUAAUUGGUGUUUUAGUGGAUAAUCUGUCAACUGACCGCCAGUAGACGUUUCAACCUUUUCGUUUUGCUUACUGUGGGGGUCUUGGGCCAAACUGUGAGCCUUUACUGUGGUUUUCCCUGAUAAAUAAUCAUAGUGUUCAUUUUUCGUCAUCCGUUUUCCUUGAUGUGAAUGUGUUAAGUAGGCCAGUCAGUUGUGACUUUAGAUAAUUUUCGUUUAUUGAGCUAUUUGGGGAGGGAGGGGGGUAAUAAGUAUUUACAAACAUUUGUUCCAUUUAGUGCCAAUAAAAGUUUUGCCAGUGUCCAAUACUGGCUCAGAA